UAUUUAUCCUUGGGGAUCCGCCAUUAAUCCUCUUUUUCAACAUCUGUUUCUUCCUCACUUUCCCCUCUUUCUUCCGUUGUUGGGGAACAUAUACACACUCAUAUUUCUUUAUGACGGGAGGAGUAUUUACAACUUAACACCACUACUACUACUACUACUACUAGAAGACUUGAUUCUCCGCUUAAUCUCUUUGUCCAACGCUUCCUGCCCUCCAACUUGUUCAACUUCCUGCAAUACAAUCCACUCCAUAUAUUCAUAUUCCCGCCAUAUAUAAAAAAGAAAAAUCACAAAAACCAUAGCUAACCGAUCGAUCUCACAAUUUCAUAUCAUGUUUUAAUUUUUGAGAUGAUGAUUGAUGGAGGGAGUAUAUUACUUUACUGCUUUAAUUUUUAACUUCUUCGUAAACACUAAAAACAAUCAAUCACAUGAAGAAGAAUAGAGAAGAGCAAUUAAGUAGGUACCUUAGGACCCAAAAACUGCCCAUAUGGAACUCCAUCGAACUUUUUCAUGUGAUGCAGCUAUUACGUAAACCACACACACAUAAUUUCAUUAAUCUAUAUAUCAUCAUUAUCUGUUCCUACUACUUUACAUUACUAAUAUAUAUAACUUUUUACAUUACUCAUUCUUGUAUACGUAAAAGCAAAAAGUAGUCUUAUAUGUUUAAUUUCAUGUAACUAUUUUCCUGAAUCAGUGAGAAUAACUAAACGAGAGGAGAAAGACCAAUUAGGGAUAAAUAAUGUAACCAUAUCAAAAUCAGAACUAUUUCCACUUUUGAUUUUAGUCGUUAACAAUAAAUUCUCAUUUUAAUUUUACAUUAUUAAUCGAGGUUAUAAUUAAUAAAAUACGUAUAAAUUUAAAAUUGUUUAUAACUUUAUUUCAUAAAUUGAAUUUUCAUCACAAUUCAAUUUUAUCCUUACUGUACAUAACAGUUAAUAUCAAUGUAGAUAUUAAAACUUAGUUAUUUCAAACUUUUUUCAAUUCUAAAAUUCACAACCUUUAUCAUCUAUACUUAUAUUCACUAUACACCAUUAGCAUUAUAUUAAUUUACUUUACAAAGUAAUUAUAAAAUUACAUCUCGUAUUCAAACGAAUACUUUUAUCCAACCUCUAUUUAUUGAGUGAUUUGACGCUUGUACAACUCGAGCAAAUUAUAUAUUAACAACUGGCACCGGCUUGGUACGAACUAAAUUUAAUAAAGCAAUAUCAUCAUGUCGCGUUCUGAAUAUUCAUUACUAAAAUCGUCUGAUAAAUCACUUUUAUCUAUAAAUUAUUUGUAAGGUUGAGCACGACGGCCCAACAAGUCUAAUAGUUUACACGUUUCAUGGUUCACAUAUCAUACAUACUUGGCAUUUUUAUUCAUGCAUCAUGUUCCUCAUGCUAUACAUUUUAUAUAUUCAUCAUAAAUCUUAUGCAAUGCGUCUACAUAUGCUUCAUGUAUAUAUCUCAUAAUAUCCAUUUGUAUAUGCAUCAAAUAUUUCAUACUACAUAUCUACAGAAUCACAAGUUCUACUAUAACACCCCCUUUUCGAAAUAGAAAGAGAGGUUACACAGAACAACAAAACUAAUGAAUUCAAUAGCAAAUCUCAAAGCCACAAAAGAAUAAUCUUAAUAUCUGAUUAAAACCACAAGUCAACCAUAAUAGAUAUCAAACUGCCUCAAACCACAAUCUAAAAUAAUUAUUACAACUCCGAUAAACUAUUAGAUCACAACCUAAACAAAAUGUUUAAACCAUUUGGAUAAAAGGAAGCUCUCGUCACACUUGCCCUUGAUCCCCUUGAUUACCUGCCGGAAGAAAAACACAGCAUGAGCCAAAUGCCCAGUAAGAAUAUAGAAUACAAGAAAUGAACCGAAAUAACUAACUCAAUUGAAUGAAUUGAAAUAAAACGAACUGAAACGAAACGAACAAAACUAAAACAAUAAAAUGAUAGGCUGAAUCAAAUGGCUGGGUGUUAUUUCAUACCAAGCUCAAAAUAAAUAGUAAUAUACCUUGCCACACAGGCAAGUCAAAUAAUACCACACAGGCAAUCAAAAUAAUGUCACACAGGCAAUCACACAUCGGACUGCGCAAUCCAGAUUUAUGCAAAUUCGGAAGGCGUGUUUGGCACAAACCACUCCGCAGAACAGAACAGAACAUAAAACCAGGGUCGACCCAUACGCCUCCCACAACAAAAUAUCAAAUGGCCAACUCCCAACGGAGCACAAAACGAAGACGUCGUAGACUGAUCACACCGCCACGGAAGGUGUCAUGCCUUGGUGCCAAGAGGACAUGCAUGUGGUACCCCCACAGGUGGUUAUAGCUCAGGUAUACCCUACGGUAUUCUAACAAAAUAUAAUGCCACAACACAUGCGACACAACAAAGGGGUUCUAACACGUACAUGUUAAACUGAAACGAAAUAUCAACACAAAGUCUCCAAAAAUAUUAACAUGUACUUUCUACAAAGAGCGAAAUAAAUAUGAACCAUACACACUAGACCAAAGAGUACAAAAACUAGUUUCAAAUACUAAUGCCAAAAUGAAACAUUCUCACGAAUUUAAGAAGGAACAAUCAUGUGAAACAAUAACAAAUUUCUAAACGAAAAGGAAACGAACAAAUCAAAAUUAAAGGAUUAUCGCAGAAAGAGUACGGAAUCCGUACCUGGAUUAAGCAAUGUAAUACCCAAAAUUAUUAUUCCAAUAUAGUUCGUUAAAUUUCUUCCGUUCGAUCUAAUUAAACAAAAUAAUAAAAAUAAGUUAAUAAACUAUGCGUUAAAUUAUCAAUUACAAAUUUACUUUUCCUAAAGCUAUUAUUACUAUUAUUAUAAUUAUUAUUUUACAUGUUUUUACACUUGUAAACUAACUGAUCUUUCAUGUUAGUAAUAUGAUGGGCACAAUAUAUAUAUAUAAUAUCUAAAUUAUUAACAUGAAUCAAGUAUUCUAAAGCAGUACAUAGUUAUGCAUAUGAUUGCUAAAGCAAUCAUAUGUACAUACAUAUAUAUAUAUAUAUAUAUAUAUAUAUAUAUAUAUAUACAUCUGGUAUUAUCAAUUGAAUAUAUAUAAAUAUAUUUAUAAUGAUUGCUAGCUACCCCCAAUAAUUCUGAUAACAAAAUAAAGGCAGAUUUACAUGUAUGAUAGAAAUGAAUUUCAAUUCCUCUUCCUCCUCUUAUGUUGUCGUCGUAGUUCUUCUGUUCUUUUCCGCCUCAGGCACAAUCAAUUUUAAUCCGAACAGAACUAAUUAACAUAGGGUUAAGUUUUAGAUAUUUAUUUAUUAAUUACCCUUUUUUUAUAUAUAUAUUUUACCAACUCUCCUAAUUUUGAUAGAAUUUUAAUUUGACCCACAUAUAAAUUAAAUCAAAUUAAUUUUAUGGCCCAAUUUUAUCAACUUAAUUUAUUCAUCAUUUAUUAAUACUUAUUAGCCCAAAAGUAAACGACUAGUUUGACCCAAAUAAAAGAUAAAGUGCAAUUAAUAUAAUUUUAAACAAAAUAAUUUUUAUUAUUUAAUUAAUUUUUUUUCGGGUAUUACAUCUACACCGAACAAUAUAAUCACAUAGUUACACAACGUGCACACUUUAAACAUGCUCACAUGUAAUUCACAUAAACACAUAAUUGAGCAAUCACAUCAUGUAUAUCGACAUAUUCAAAUAGUUCAACAAGUUACUAAAAGAACUUGCCUCUAUUUUUGUUUAUCCCAAUACGUUCCCAAAAUAUUCAUCAAACGUCCAUUGCACAACCUCUAUCAUUAAUUGCUUAACAUUUCUCGUAGAUCAUUCUUUAUUGCAUACCCUAUAUAUAUAUAUAUAUAUAUAUAUAUAUAUAUAUAUAUAUAUAUAUAUAUAUAUAUUAUCAAAUUAUAAUAUUAAUAUAGGGAUUACCAUAUUACCCUUCCUUAGUUUUAUUCAUCCACUUUUAUUGCAAAUAAGUCGAAAAAUUAUAUUAUGUAACUUUUUCAAUCAAUCUUUAAUUAUUUAUUUCUUACUUUCCUUACCCCCAACAUAUUUAUCAAAAAAACUUAAAUACCUUAUUAUUUUUAUCCCUUCUGAGCAUGCUUAGUUAAUAUUAUUUAACAUUCAAAAUAUUUUUUCCUUUAUUUUUCAGCUUUAUUUAUUAUUUUUAAAAGGGCCAUUUAUGCUCAAAAUUGCAGCAUUUUUAAUAAAUUGAAUUUUUGUCCAAAAACCCUAAAAUUUACAUGGAACCUUUGUCAUAUCAGUACACACUUCAAUUAAAUAUUUCGUAAUUUUCUGGGCUGAGCAGCUCUAGAUAUUUCAGUUCCAUAUUUUAUUUCCUAAAAUUUCAUUUGGUCAUAACUCUCGUCUCGGAAGUCAAAUUGAACCCAUUUUCGGACUAGAACUUGGUACUGUGUAUUUUCAGAACCCAAAAGGGCCUAAUUUUUGGUACAUGCUAACUGGCCGAAGAUAUGUGCUGCAUUGCUAAAAUAUUUUGGGAACGUUUAGGGAUAAACGUUAAGCAAUUUUGGGAACCCUCUCGCUAGAACCCUCUCCCGCUAGAAUAGCCAUAACUAAUUCGUUUCAAAAUAUUUUUGUGCCCAAACGUAGCUAAUUUCUAGGGCUAAAACUUUUAUGCUUUAACCAUUCUCAAAUUGGAAGGGCCGAAUCUGAUUUUCCAAAUUGGACAGUUUUGAUGCGCUUACCUUGGGAUAGUGAUGCACAACAGGCCGGCCUGGUCCGGCCUAAGCCGUUGACCAGGUCAGGUCUUGACUUUUUGAUUGCAGGUCGGGCAAGGCUGGAUUUAGAACAAAAAAAUGCAACCUAUUGAGGCCUACAGGCCAAGCCGAGCUUGGCCUCAUUAGGCCCAAGUAAGUGCUCUUUACUUCAAAAAAUUUAAACUCAGUUUCUCCUUUAUUAAAGAAAGGCAGGACAAAAAACUUUUUACUAGACUAUAUGGGACUAUGCCCAAGCUUAGCCAAACCUCCAUUUACUUUGUUUUAGACUAUGUGAGAGUGGGACUAUGUCAUGCUUAGCCAAACUUAACACAAGCUCAAGUGCAUUGUAUUUGAAAUUUUUGAACUUGACCUCUCCUCUAUUUAUAGAAGAAAUGUAGGGACAAGAGAUGUUAACUAGACUAUGCGGGACUUUGAAACAAAAAUGCAAUUGAAUUAAAUGCCUCUCAUUCUUAUAGUUUGCUAUUAAACUUGUGUUUCUUGAGGUGCCAAUGUGGGACAAAACACAAAGGUAGAUGUGUUACUUCUUCCUUUUACCAACAGCUUUAGAAAAUGAAGGUAGAUAUAUUAAUCACGUGCUGCAUUGCUAUACAUAAUUUUCAAGAAACAGUCACCACCAUCAUUACAAAAUAAUCCAAUGUCCAUAUAGUUUACAAUGAAAUUAAUUCUUAUUUACUUGCAAGUUAAAUAAAAACAAAUAAAUUUUGAACAAACUACUUGCAACAAAUUUUGAACAAGAAAAUCAAAUUCACUAAUUGAAAAUUAAACCAAUUGUUAUACCCAACACCCCCAGAAAUAAGGCGAAAAAUCUACGAAAUGGAGUUUUAUAAGAACACUGGUCUUGUGGGUUGAAACCUUUAGCUAACAGAUGAUAUAUGGAAACAUGGAGGAAAACUCCACAAGCAAUCCCCUGCGUAAGAGCAUAGAUCCAAUCGGCUGCACCUCUUUGAGCUGAUUCUUUAAUAAUAAGAGCUAUUACUAUUCCAAUCGGGGUUGAAAUUGCAAAGGCAAAAGAGUAUGCCACGCUUGUCAAAAAUGGCCUGUAUAGUUGCAUCCUCAGCACUGCAAUAAUGCAAAAUUAUAUGAGACUAUAAUCUUGUAAAUGUUAAGUCUAUAAUCUCAAAGUCCCACAUCGAAUUGAACUUGAAUUGAAAAUAAGACUUCACUCUAUAAUAGCAAUCCUAAAUUUCAAUGUUUAUCUUGUAAAUGUUAAGUCCCACGUUGAAAGUGGGAUGCAAGUAUAAGGAGGAUUUCCUUAUAAAAAAAACUUGCUAGUAUGACUCAACUAAAGAUUUUAGACUGGAUAGGUCGCAGGCCGGAUUAGGUUGCCUGACUAGUCCAGGCUACAAACAAGGCCGGUUCAAGCUAUAGACCUGGCCGUAGGCUAGGCCGGGCCAGGCUUUUUGGAAGGCUAGGCUAGGCCGGAUAUGAGCCAUUAAUUUAUUGUCUGUCCUUGGUCUAUUAGGUCGGGCCUGACCGGGCUAGACUUUGAUCAGGCCGAGCUUUGACCAGGUUGGGCUUAGGCCGGAUCAAGGCCAAGCCACAGGCCGCAGGCCAUUUGUGCACCACUACUUUGGAACGUCAUAACUCGGUCUUCCGAACUCGGAAUGAGUCUGUUCUAGAGGCUACGACUUCCUUAUUCACUAUAAUAAUAUACUACUUAAGAAACCCAAAAUUUUUUGGAAAGUAUAGCUAGUCCCAAAUUUGUCUUUAGGGCAGUCGGUUUUAACCUCUUCUACUAAAACAUUCACCAUAAAUUCAUUUUAACUUCUUUUUGAUUCAUUCUAAUUGGAUUAUUUCCAUAACACAUAGGAGUAUAACAUACUACUAUAGAACUUAAAUUUCAGACGUGAAACAUAACCACAAAAGCUCCAAAACAGUCCAUAACAGUCCUCUAAUUGUCCAUUUCCAUCCUUUAUAUAAGCAUAGGUUCAGAUUUUGGUUAUUUUGAUUCCACUUUAAUGAUUUUAAUGGUCAUUAUAACAUCUGAACAUCAUUCUCAUGAUGCUUCUCAACUCAUAAAACUCAAACAACAACAAUAUUUAACAAGAUAUGAAGUUUAAGAGAUAAAAUGGAAGUUUAAAGUUUUAGAACUUACUUAUUUGAUUUCUUCCUCUUAAUUAGAUGCUAGAUAACGUUGUUAGAGCUUGCUAGGAUCCUCUUUCCUUCUUCCUUGAGUAUUCAUAAACCUCUUCCUCAAGUUUUAACUCUCACCCAUUUCUUUUUUUCUCAUGGUUACAAGAUGAAUGAGGAUGGAGAAUGGCUUGGUUUUGUUAACUGACUUCUUCUCUUUCUCUCUUUGCCACAUUCGAACUUCUCUCUUCCUCCUCUCCCAACUCUCUUCCUCACUUUGCAAAUAAAUAAAAUGAACUUGAGAGUAAAGGAACGGAUGAUACUUGGUGGGAAUCAUUGAGUUAUACAAAACUUCUUGGAAAGGAGAUUGAGAAGGAUGUUGACAAGAUUAGAUUUUCCAUACAUGGAAGUUGGAGUUUUAUCUCCUUAAGACCCAUUUGGUUCGAAUAAUUCCUCUCUCUUAUCCGGCUCCUUCUCCUUAUUCCCACAUUUGCUAACUUAGAAGAAUAUGCCCGAAAUUGGGCUUUACUUUGGGCUUAACUUGGGAAUUAAUUUGGAUUAAUUACAUAUAUUAGUACAUUUUUAAAAAUAAUUACAAAAAUCAUACAUCUAUAAAAUAAUUACAAAAAUACUAUAGUUCAUCAUUUUUAUUUACAGUACUAAUACAAUUAAAAGUCCUUAAAUUAAGGGAUUAAUAUUAAUGGGCUGACAUGGCAAAUUAGUUUCCAUCUUCCUCAAACAUUCUUUUCUCGUUCGGUCUCCCUCUCCGCCCUUAAUUGUCGAUUAAUAUAUCGUCAUUCCGAUCAUCUUCUUCACCUUUAUAAGCUUCGUAUAUGAUCUCCAAUGGCGCUCUCAUAUUUCACUCGACAAAAGAGUCGGCGUAGAACGGGUUUGGAUCAUACCCAGAUCCCGAAUUCGUAUCGCAUGAAUCCCAAAUGUGAUUAUCAUAAUUAUAAUCAUCCGUUAGUUGUUCUUAUUCCUGUUAUUGGUUCCUGUUGUUGUAGUAGUAAUCAUCAUAUUCUCUCUCACCCACACCAAAUUGACAGUUCAAACUUGCAUAUUGUCAAAGAGAUGGCAGCACAUCUGGGCAACUAUUCCCCAUCUGAAUUUGUACAAAUACAAUUUCGGGAGUUGCGCUAAAUUUUCCCUAUUUUGUACUUUGAUUUUGUUGGAUAUUCAUAACCAUUUGUUAUGGUUAGCGAGUCUGUAAUGUUUUGUUGGAUAUUCAUAACCAUUUGUUAUGGUUAGUGAGUCUGUAAUGUUUAUUGGAGUUUAUGUAACUGGGUUAGAUAUAUAUACAGGUUGUUUAUGUUUUGGUUAUCAUUAUUAAAACAUGUUCUGGUUACUUUCAUAUAACUAUUUGGUUACUUAUUUAAUAUGUUUUGGUUACUGUUAUCUUAUGGUUUGGCUACUAUUAUUGUGCCCUCAAUGUGGGAUUUUUGUUACUUUUAUUUUUUAUUCUGGUUAAUAUAUAAUUGUUUAGUAUAUAUGGAUUGCCUAAACUGAGUUUCAUUACAUGAUAUUUCUGUUUUGGUUACCACAUUAAAACUUGUUCUGGUUACUAUCAUAUAAUUAUGUGGUUACUGUUUUAUUAUGUUACAUUAUGGUUACUGUUAUUAGUAACCAGAUAGUUACAAGCUUGUAUCAAGACAAACAUCAAGUGUUAAAUGUACACAUGAGAGUGUCUUAUUUAUCUAGCUGAUGUAUACUUAUAAAUUACAUACUCAUAAAAAUUAUCUGAAAAUUAUAUAGUUGGUAUUUAAAUCUGCAUAUAGAGGUAACCAUUUUAUUUUUUUAUAAGUAAUCAAAUUUACAUAAAAUUGGUUCAGAACAAUAUCCAUCAACUAUUUCAAUUAAAAUGUUAGUUUGGUAUCCAAACCUACAUAUAUGGUAACCAUUUUUAUUUGUGUUAGUAACCGGAUAAUUAUAAGUUUGUAUCAGGACUGUUAUAAAGUGUUAAAUGUAUAUGUUUUAUUUAUACCCUGUCAUCAUAAUGAAAUAAGAAACUCCAAUUAAGAGUUCCCAUUUAUAUAUAUGAUGGUCACUUAUAGAUCUCAUAUAUUAAAAUAAAAAUAGUUUGAGAGGUGCAGUUGGUAACCAAACAUGUAUAUAAGGGUAACCAUUUUAGUUUAUGUUAGUAACAAAAUAAUUAAAAACUUAUAUCAGAACAAUUAUCAAGUGCUUAAUGUUCAUGUGAGGGUUUCCAUUUAUCUAGCUGAUGGAUACUUUUAAAUUACAUAGUUAUAAAAGCUAUUUGGAAAUGGUCCAGUUGGUAACUAAAUAUGAAUAUAGAUGUAACCAUUUUAUUUUAGAUGGGUAACCAAAUUUACAUAAAAAUGUUUCAGAAUGGUUACCAAUUGUUUAAUGUAUAUGUUUACUUUAUAUUGACAACUCAUGAUGGAAUCAAAAAUCAAAAUAUUAAUCAAUAACAAUUUUGGUUAUUGUACACCAUCAAAAAUGUUACCAACCAUGUGGUUAAUGGUUACUAACAGUAAACAAUUAUAUAUUCCUGUAUUUACACUCUUUUUGUUUAUGUUCCGUUGAAAUAAAGCACAACUGAAAUCAUCUCCAUUGUCUGACAACUGAAUAAACAUUGUAAAGUAACCAAAUCAAUAUUAUACAGUAACCAAACUACAUAAUCUUAGUAACCAGAACAUAAACAAAAAAUUUACAUGCAAUUUUGGAGGCCUAAAUGAUGGAAUUUGACCAAAAAAACCCUGUAGUUCAUGAGCUAAGCUCGUGACUUUUGAUUGUUGACCCGUUUUCAAUGAAAUUAGACUCCGAAAACACCAAAAUCUGACACUUCAAACUUGACAGAAAUUACCAAAUUGUCACUGAAUCAAAUCUUUCCAUAGUAUAUCAAAUCUUUCCUUAAACUGAAUCAAAUCUUUUCAUAAACUGACACGCCUGCUCUUCAACAACAUGAGUUUGUUACCAACUAAAGACUAACAGUUAUAUGAAGUUAACCAACGUAGUCAAUAAGUAACCACCAAUAUAAAACACACUAAUAUUAUACAAUAAUCAUAACAACAUUAUACAGUAACCAAAUUUAGAUUAGACAGGUAUCAACAUAUAUCUAUUUAGUAACCAGAACAUAAACACAUUUUUCAUUGCAUUUUACAGUAAAAAACAACCAGUAUAAUGUGUUUGUUACCAACUAAAGACUAACAAUUGUAUGAAGGUAACCAAUGUAGCUAAUAAGUAACCAUGAAUAUAAAAAACAUCAGUACAAGUGUACAUUAAUAUUAUUCAGCAGCCAAAUAAAUGUUAUACAUUAACCAAUUAAAUAGUAUACAUCAACCAAUAUAUAUAAUCAGAUUAACAGUUGUAUGAAGGUAACCAAUGUAGUCAAUAAGUAACCACCAAUAUAAAAGAAACAAUUAUAACACACAAUAACAUUAUACAGUAACCAAAUAAACACCUUACAGUAUCUAAAUACAUAUUAAACAGUAACCAAGAUAUAUGUAAUUAGUAACCAAUAUUAUAAAAAAAUAUUUUUACAUUCAUUUUACAACCAAAACAAUCAGUAAUGACUUUGUUACAAAUUAAAGACUAACAGAUGUAUGAAGGUAACCAAUGUAGUUAAUCAGUAACCAUCAAUAUAAAAAAAAUCAGUAUAAAACACAGUAAUAUAAUGCAGUAACCAUGGUAAUAUUACACAGUAACCAAGUCAGCAUUAUAUACUAACCAAAUCCAAAUUAGACAGUAACCAACAUAUAUUUACUUAGUAUCCAUAUCAUAAAACAUAUUUUUCCAUUUAUUUUACAGCAAAAACAAACAAUAUAAAAAACAUCAAUAUGUACUUAAAGAUCCAACAGUUGCAGGAAGGUAACCAAUGUAUCUAAUAAGUAACCAUCAAUAUAAAAAAUAUCAGUAGAAUAUACAUUAAAAGUAUACAGCAACCAAAUAAACAUUAUACAGUAACCAAAUUAAUAAUAAACAGUAACCAAUUUAUAUGUACUUAGUAACCAGAAUAUAAAACAUAUUUUUACAUGCAUUUUGCAAUCAAAACAGUCAUUAUACUGUCUUUGUGACCAAUUAAAGAGCGAAAAACUUAAGAAAGGUAACCAAUAUACGAGUAUAUAGUAACCACGGGGUAGCUAUAUGCAUAUAAACUUUAAACUCGAAUACCUCAGUAUACAAAUAUGUAAAGAAUUAAUCAACAAUCAACAAUCAGUAUAGUACGUAAGUUUCUGGUUACUGAUUGUAAAUCGAAAGAAUAAACACAAUAUAUACUUACAUAUGAAACUUCAUAAUGUUGCUUGACGAUCUCGAAGUUGAUGUCGAUCUUCUCUGAUUUUUUCCGAUCUCGAAGUUGCUGUUGAUCUUCUCCAAUUUUUUUCGAUCUCAAAGUUGCAUCGCCGUCAGAGAAUUCGUCUUCUCCGAUCUGUGUCGUUCUAUUUUUCUUCAUGAUCGGUUGAUUGCAAAUAUGAAAAUAGGUAACUGACGUGUGGGGAGUUAAUGUUCCGUAAUUUUAGCAACUUAUUAUUGUGUUGAGUUAUUUUUGUAAUUAUUUUGUGGAUGUAUUAUUUUUAUAAAUACUUUCUAAUUGUUGUAUAUUAGUGUUAAGGACCCUAAAUUUUCUAUGUAUGCUUGCAAGCUUAUCUCUAAGUGUUAUGGGUCAUUGCUACAUUAGACAGGUGUAUUGAGGCCAAACAUAACACCUAAAUCCAGCCCCUCCUUCAGUCAUAUUUAGGAGCCCAAAUGGGUAUAUAGAGAGCUGAGUUUUGUGAAGACAGUUCAGUUGUUACGUUAGUUUAGUUAGGCAGAGUGGAUCAGUUAAUAGUCAAUAACUUGCCACCAAGAACAAGGGAAAGGGCAACUAUGGGGCAGAGGUCUGACACUUUUAAUAGGGGCUGGGUAGACUAGACUAGAAAUUAUUGUUGAGAGCUUGAUAGGGUGGCUGUACAGAGGCCAAAUAGAGGCUAAUAGGACUGCCAGAAAAAGGAGAUAGCUCAUCCAUUAAAGGCAGCCCCUCACCCUCAUCCCAGCCAGUCAUUCAAGGAAAAUUCUGGGUUCUAUUUUGCUACAGAGCUUCCGGUUGGAAAGGAAGGAAAAUUAAACUACCAAACUACCUAAAUUUUUAAAAGCUAGCAAGGUAAGCCCAUUUAAACUCCUUCCAUUCUUUUUCCAUUUCAUUGUUAAUAGCAAAAUGGACUGUUUUGGCCGAAUGGUCUGGAUUGGUCAUAAAGGGCUAUUUCACUAUUACAAUGAUUGUUAUUUUGGAUUUUUGAAUGUUAUGUAACCGUUAUAAGGUCUAAUUGUUGCUGUGAUCAUUGCAUAAGCUGACUAAUGGUCGGGUGGCUUAAUAGGGGCUGAUAUAUAGAAUUUGAUAGUGAAUUGCUUUAUGACCAUAUUAGUAAUUGUUAAUACUGAUUGUGGGUUUUCUAUAAUGACUAUUUUGAAUAAGAUGGUUGUGUUUGCUAUGGUUGUCGUUAUGCUUGACUAAUAAUAGAAUCAUUGUUGUUUUAAAGCCAUAAGGCUGGGGUUAAAGAGCUAGAAGCAUGUGUACUAUAUGCCAGUAUGUGGACUGACCACCAUCUGUUUGAUAAAGUGACUAAAUGAGGACUGAAAUGUGUGAAAUGUGUUAAGCAAGUUAACUGUGUAAUAGAGUCUAAGAACAUGUUUAUUUGCUAAAAUGGAAUGUAUCCAUACUUCAAGUGUGCUCUACACUUAAGUAUACUAUGUUUUUAAAAACCACUUACACACAAUGCUAGCUAUGUUAAUGAACAAAACAAAAGUAAUUUUUUACUGUUUAUUAGGAGCUGAUUAUGAUUAAUUUGUCAUAUUUUAAAGGUUGUUUUCAUGCUAGGUAUGGUGCCAAAAUGUACUAAACCAUGAAUGAUAAAAGGGUAGAGCUUAAAGGGUAAUUGCAACUUGAAAAGAACCUAAAAUAGGGCAGGGCCUAUUUUGAACAGGCCAGACUCAGCCCCUAUUUUAGGAAUAUUUGGUAUACUAUUUAUGAAAUUAAGAAGCUUAGAAAAAGGACUGUUGUGGACUGUUAUGUGUAUAAUGUUUUAAACCAUCCAAAUCAAAGAUAUACAUGCUAAAUGUUAUGUAAAUAGCUAGUUCAUGUUUGUAUGUCACAUAAUCAUAUUGUUGAUUAGGUUGUCAACCCAUGUUUUCAUGAAAGUAUAAAGCCUACUAAAGGCUUUUUUGAACAAAAUCUUAAGGUAUUACAUCCAUAUGUUUUUAACCAUGAAAAAUAUAGUAUAUAGCAAGUACUUGUUGUGAUAAUGCAUGAAAUUCAAUGCUUGGUACUGUUUUGGUGUAAUGGUACUAAAUCAUGCCUAAAGUGCUCUAUAUGGACUAUUUUGGGUAUUCAAAAGAUGACUGACCUUUGCAAUUAUAAAUAAGGAAAUAAUUCUAUGUUAUAAGCAUGUUUUGAGGAUUGCUUGAAUACUUAAAGUUCCCUUUUACCUACAUAAGGACUAUUAUGAAUUGUUAUGUAAAUUUCAUACCUAAAAUGUCUAGAACUGGACUGUUUUGUGCUAAUGGUUUAACUAUUUAUGCAAACAUGCUAAAUUCCAUGAAAAUGAGAUAUACUAAUGGUUAGGAGCUUGCAAGAAUGCUUAGAUAUCUAAAGAAGCAUAGCUUGGGACUGUUUGUGAAAAAGAAGAAGCCAAAACAGUGCUUAAAUCCUACAAUUAGGAACUGUUAUGGUCUAUUUUAUCUACUCUUGUUAUAAAUCAUUAAAGUGUAUGUACAUUGUCUACAUAUAUCAUUUAAAAGUUGUUCCUUAAGUUAGUUAAGGUCUACAAGGUAUGUUGUGCAAAUUCAUGCUUAAAAACCAAUAAAAGUAAGAUUUAAAUAGCAAUGAACACCAAAAUGAAGAACCACCAUACCUGGACCAUAUAGAAAAGUUCCAAUAGCUAAAAUAUGACCCAAGUAAGCUACACAAGCUAAAGAAACCAAGUCUAAACUGUUUUGAGCAUUAGACUUGUUAAAAAUCAUAUUUUAAGCCAAAUAGUGGACUGUUUUGGGUGAUUGUUAGCACCUGAACUUAAGGGGCUGUGAUAAACUCAUAUAAAGUUUCUAGUGUAUGCUUAUAAUGGUUUCCAAUCAGUACCAAGACCAAAGUUAGCAAGAAAAGCAAGUUAGAAUCCAUUUUUCAAGCCUAAAGUGAGCUUUGAUAGGUCAAAAUUGGCUAGAUGAUUAAAUAAAGUGUGGUGAUGCUAAAAGUAUCUUUAAGUAACUUAAAUACACAUGCCUAGGCUAUUCUAGUGGCCAAAACUAGAAAAAUUUGGACAAAAGUUCAAAAAUUGGUUUUGUAAAAAAGUGAGAAAACUGCCAAGUUUGAGCCCUGUUUUGGGAAGCUUAAUGGGUAUGAAAAAGAAACCUAAACCCUGAUUAAAAUACCUUGAUGUACGAUCUAAAAUUAGGCUCAAAUGGUUGAGCCAAGAUCUUAAUCCAAUAAUUCAAACAAAUAACCAAACUAGGCUAGAAAAUCAUUCUAACUGCAGUUUUGGAAAAUUUUGCAAGUAUAAAAUUUGAGAUUUUGCCAUUUUGCUUAGAACUCCGUUUUAACACCUUAAACAAAUUAUUUAGAGGCAUGCUAGGAUAUUCCAAGUUUUGGAAUGCUAAUAUAUACAACUUCAGAAAUUAGUAUGUAAAAACUUGAAAAAGCUAGGUUUAGAGGGUCAAAACCAAAUCUAUGCUUAAUAAAGUCAAAGGAAUGCUUAAACUAGUCUUAACUAGUAAUAAUUCAAGUUUUGGAAUGAACCCAAGAGGCCAGAAAUGAAAAUGGCAAGAAUUGACUGAAGUUAGUAAACUAAAAACUGUGGAAAACACCUAGUUUGGGCAUGAGUUUCAAGAAAUAUAAAAGGCUUACUUGGAAACCUUAACCAACACAAAAAAAUACUUUGGUAUAUAUGCUAGAAGUAUGUCCAGAUUUCUGGUCCAAAAGCCUAAUACAAAAAUUCCUAAAAAUCAUCAAAGUAGCCUCGAAAUUCAUAAACGUGCAGUUUCCUUAAGAAAUUGUUAAGAACAGCCCAUUUGAGGCUUGUUUUUGAAUUGUCUAACUUGAUAGUUUUUAUGAUUUAAACCAAGGAUAAAAUACUUUGGUAUGGGGUCUAUAAAAGUGUACAAAUGAUAGGUUCAAAAGACUAUCAUAGAAUAUUCUAAAAAUUAUCAAAGGUGCCUCAAAAAUCAUGAUUUUGAGUUAUUGAAAUAUAUUUUUAAAAGUGAAAUUUAAGACUUGUAAAUGUCCUAACAUGACUAAAUAAGUUAAUAAAAGUAUGUUAUGUUCUAAGAUCUAUAAGAUGACAUGUUUAGACAAAAAAAAAACAAGUAUGCUUUAUGAUAUAUAUGAACUUUAUAGGUGAUGUGUGCCUAUGUGUGUUAGUUGUAUGAAAGUGUCAUAUAAACUAAGCUAUAAAAAGGUGUUGCGAUAAACUAUAUGCCUACGUGUACUAAGUUAUAUUUGCAAAUAAAAGCUGAAUGUAUACUUGGCUAAUGUUAGUAAAUAACAUACAUGUUAGUUAUUGGAUAUGGCUUCAAUAACCAUAGUAAAGUUGUGUAUCCAUAAAUAUGGACUUUGUGUUACAACAUAACUAAGUAAGCUGAUAUUGUAUAUAUGUAGGUACAAUAUCAUGUAGGCUACUCUGUGGCAAGUUACUUUCUUUAUUAAAAGGUUUAAUCGACACAAGAGGCAAGUAUAUCAAACCAUUCUCUCUUAAAUAAGUUUAUAUUGCAGUAUUUAACUCAAAAGCUAUCUUUUCAAGUUAUUCAACUUAUUGUACUUUAAUGCUUCAAAUUCAGUUAUUCUGAUGAUAUUGAAAGAAUGUCAAUGCCAUUAUUUCGGCUAGAAAACUGUUGAGAUAUAUUGAUAUUAUUCAUUCAUGAAAAUCUCAUUUAAUGUUCUCUAAACCAUUUUGUUGUGGUGCGGACUCUUAUAUAAUGUUGUGAAUGAACAACCCUUUUAUAGGGGCAUAUUGUACUGGACAUAUGAUUCCGAAGGACAUGUAAUAUGUCAUCAAACUGUUAUGUUGUGUACAAUAUAGGGUAUUCAGGUUGAUCCCCUAAGGUACAAGUCUAAGAUAUAUCAGUUUUAAUAACUGUUUGCACCUAUUGAUUGCAGUUUUAGUACUGUCAAUUCUAAUACAGAGUUCACUGGUCAUUUGACCUUACAACAUGCUAAAGCUUGAUUCUUUAAACCCAAAGCUUAUCAAGAACUAUUUUUCUCAGUAUCUCAUGAUUUUAUUGCCUUUAUUGUAAAUAUUCUUGUUCCAUUAUAUUCAAUUGUUUAUUUUCUUGUUGAGCAAGCUUUUGCUCACCCUUGCGUUGAAUAUAAUGUUUUCAGUUAAAACCGAGAACGCUGGUACGUCUGGGAAAGAUAAAGGAAAAGGCAAAGUUGUAGAAUAAUUUAUUAUUAAGCGAUUGUGCUUAAAUGGACUUAAGUAGUUGAUGUAAUAAAUACCUUUAGUACUAUGUUUUGUAAUAUUAUUUAAUAUUUAAGUUAUGUAAAGGUCUAUAGAACUUGAGAUUUAAGUAAGAUAUUUAUGUAAUCUAAGACAGGUUUAAGUUAGUAUUUUUAUGGAAUGAAUGGAUAUGUUAGUAUCGUGAGCACCAAACCUGAGGUAAAGGUAACCCGAAUUUGGGAGCGUCACAUAUAUAGUGGGCCAAGGUCCAUGUGGAGUUAUUUUAACCCAUGUAGGAUUUUGUUUGGGCAAUGGAG
This 16403-nucleotide long non-coding RNA is filed under the name Panax ginseng (ginseng). RNAcentral describes it as "long non-coding RNA (PGIN_LNC015062)". The record is from RNAcentral. Lineage: Eukaryota; Viridiplantae; Streptophyta; Magnoliopsida; Apiales; Araliaceae.